ACUCAAAUAGCUUAAAGAAGAGUAUAAUAUUGAAGCUGUUAAGGUGAUGUGAUAUCUUUGAGUA
This 64-nucleotide transfer RNA is filed under the name Opisthoteuthis grimaldii. Its description in RNAcentral is "tRNA-Phe". The record is from RNAcentral. Lineage: Eukaryota; Metazoa; Mollusca; Cephalopoda; Octopoda; Opisthoteuthidae.